This 117-nucleotide ribosomal RNA is filed under the name Sinocyclocheilus rhinocerous. The record is from RNAcentral. Lineage: Eukaryota; Metazoa; Chordata; Actinopteri; Cypriniformes; Cyprinidae.
GCCAUUAGCAAUAUCACCCUGUAGCCCAAGCCUGGUUGCCCACUGAAGCUAGGCAGGGCUGAGCCUGGUCAGUACCUGGAUGGGAGACCUCCUGGGAAAACUAGGUUGCUUUUGUUU